RNAcentral lists this small RNA (2934 nucleotides) under Rattus norvegicus (Norway rat). RNAcentral's name for it is "uncharacterized LOC103691306". Lineage: Eukaryota; Metazoa; Chordata; Mammalia; Rodentia; Muridae. The record is from RNAcentral.
AUCUAAGCAUAAUCCUUCUUAAACCUUGUCUGGCCCUGGCUACUAGGAACCAGGCCAACGCCAAGUGAGACGCUGCUUAUUCAUCUCAGGUCUAAACCCACUGCUCCUGAGCCACAGAAAUCAAAGAGAGCUGAAAAGGCCACCUACUGAUGAAUGGUAAACAACGGGUCGUCAGGACUCACUGGACCCAAGGGAAAACAGAUGUCUGAAGAUGAUGGUUGACUCCAAAAUUCCAAUGGUCUCUACUAUUACCUGCCCUGUGGCCUGCCAAAGUCUCCAAACAGCAACUCUAUUUGCCACUAAUACCUCAAGCACCAUGGUGUCUACUGAAUGAUAGGAACCAAAUGCACAGCAGCCGGGACCUGUUGAACAGCUUUCUUCCUUCUGUUUCUGACGCCACUCAAAACUAGCAGCUUUCUAAGGCACCGGAACCUACUCUUCUAGCACAUAUUGAAGACCGACUAAGGCAUCCUGUCUUGUGGUACUGAGCAGAUCCUAGAUUCUUGGACUUCCUGCUCACAGCCAGCCAUUGUUGAAUUUUCUAGACUGCAGCCUAGGAAUUUCAAGAUUGGCUGGUUAACAGGACUCUCGCUGGCAGCUGAAGGGAAGACAUCACAGGCUGGAGAUGUUUGGGAAAGGAACACACUAUCAUGGAGUUUGUCCUAUGACUCGACGGGAAGGGAACAGAGGAGUAGCAGGUUCUGAAAUGGAAGCUGAUUAAUCUGAAAGCCCCAAAAGACACUGCUGGGGAGAAAGAAAAGUGGAAUCAGGAACUUGAGGAACAGCAUUUAGCAUCUACCCAGGGAAGGCAAGCUGACCCCUUUAGACAAGGAGAAAGUAGGUCAGCUUCCUGUUACUAUACGUAAGAUAAUCAACCUCAAAGGAGAGAAGUUGAUUUUAGUUUCUUUUCUUCUAGGUAUAACAAGCUUACCCCAUUGCCAUCUUAGAGUUGAGUUACCAUGGCUUGGUAGCUCUGGCAAGUAAUCGAGUGGACCAGUCCAGAGGUAGCUAUGUCUAUGAUUAUGACAAUGGAGCUGUGGACAUUUCCUUAUAGAAUGGCAGACAGGAAGUCAAAGGACCCUCAUCCGGAAACCCAGCCAUUAUUCCUUCCUGCAAAUGAGGUUGGGAGGUGCUAGAAUAUAUGGAGAAUGGAGGGUUGAGAGGGGAGUCCAUGACACAGCCAUGAGGGUGACAUCUAUUUUGUAGACACCUAACUUACCCAUACUCUAUAGGUAAAUAUAAAUAAAUUCCUAGGUUUUCAAAGUUGGACUUCAGUGGGACUGCAGUUCUGUCAUUGGUGCAGUAUCUGGGGUGAAUAGAUGUUUGUUUCAAUUUCCCGGUGAAAAGACACAAUUGGAAGUGUCAGUCCAUUGUUAAUUAGCUCGUGGUUGUGGGGCUAAUGGUGAGGUAGCAUGUCCUGGUGGUGUGCAUCCUUCACAGUGGCCAAGAUGUGAUAAAGAAGAGAAAUCCAGGGUCACCAUAUCCCAGCGUAUGCCAAUUUUGUUCUACUUACCCAAAGGUCCCCUAAUGGCUUUACAUGUCCAGGAUCAAGUCUCAAGCACAUGGGCCUUUUGGGGAAUUUAAAACAUGAAGUGCCACAGUAGACAAGGUGGUGAUAUUGAGAAUGACAGUUGUAAAAGGCUCUUCACUCGGGGGAAUCAGCUGUAAGGAGAAAGACCAUCUGUGUGAUGACCUGUGGCUUUAAUGGACAAACAGACUCAAAGCCUAACAUAAAAUACGAUUGCUCUAACUCCAAUAUCAUCACUUAGCGGACGUUCACUUGAGGAGUAUGUUUUUAGCCUUAACAGGUCACAGGAUUUCAGCCUAGACUGGGAGCUGUGUAGAUUUCUAUAUCUAUUUUUAAAAUCAUAGACAACUUGAGGAGAGUGAUGAGCUAUGUGUGUUCAACUUCCCUGAUGUGUGUUCAACUUUCUCUUCCUCCCCAUCUGCCAGAGAGUUUGUGUGCUCUUUCUAGAAACAAGGGUGCAGCCAUGCUUAAAACAGAUACAUGGAUUUUCAAACCAGAACUCAGCCGUGCUGAAAUUUGAGGUGAAAUGAAACACGUGUUAGUGGAUGGUGCAGGAAAAUCUAAACAAAGUCACCUACGACCAGGAAGACAGCCCAUGGUGACAUCACAGAGGACAGACAAUAAGUGCCCCAAUGCCACAAGAGGAGAUGCCCAUUAGACGGCUUAGUGAGCACAGCCCUUGAGUUGGAUUAUGUCAAACUGAAGAGAGUUCUGGAACCAUAGAGCCACAGAACCACAGCACUGUCUAAAUCACGGCCGUCACUUCCUAUGUGAGGAAUAUUCAGACUCAAGAAGCAGAAAAACCAGGUCUGAGUCACAGAACUGCUUUCAGGUAGACCGCAGAGCAGCCUACAGUUUCUUCCAGGGAACUAAUUAAAAAUGCAUUUUGAAGAUGUUAUUUUUAUUAGGAAAUAGCAAUACAUGUUUAUGAGAUACAAUGUAAUACCUUGAUAUAUGUUUAUUAUAGAAUGCAUUAAUCGAACUGCCACAGAAGUAUUUAUUUUCUAGACAUCACAAAGAAUAAAAAUAAGGAUUCUCUCUUCUCAAAAAAGCAUAUUAAAUAAUUUAUAAGAAAGAGAGCUAAAAUGUCUAAAGAUCAGAUACAAAUUUUAGAUUUCUAGCCAAAGUGUAUCUUGGUUACUGACUGAAAUGUUUCUUUCUAAUAAGAAUCUUCCAGAAUUUCUAGAUGAUUCCACACAUGGUGCAUAAGCCUUCAAAAGGAUAACUCUCUCCCUCAAAACAGGCCAAAAGAAUUACUUAUUUCUAAUUAGAAAUCUCUACUUCCAGUUAAUUCCUGAAAUUUUCUAAUUCCUGCACACCUCUAACACAGUAUUACUAGAAGUAAAAUUUAAAUAUCUCAUCGAUCCAUUUAAAUAGAAAAAAAGAAAUCUGAACUACAUACUAUU